GGCCUAGUAACUAAGCAGGUAGAGCAUAUGCGUACAAAGCGUAGGCGGCGUCCACGCGUGGGUUCGAAUCCCAUCGAGGUUA
This 82-nucleotide transfer RNA is filed under the name Echinostoma caproni. It matches the Rfam family "tRNA". Rfam says of the family: Transfer RNA (tRNA) molecules are approximately 80 nucleotides in length. The record is from Rfam by way of RNAcentral. Lineage: Eukaryota; Metazoa; Platyhelminthes; Trematoda; Plagiorchiida; Echinostomatidae.